GCUCCUAUACUGACCAUAAUUCCCUUCUCAUUUCCAGAGAGAACCAUGUGAAAUGGAACAGACGCUGGCUCGGGCUCUAUCUGCUUUUCAUUUGAGUAGACACCCGAGGGAGUGUUGCUGGGCUCAGCUGGGGACCGAAUCCGCAGCCCAUUCUAGGGCAAAGAGAGGCAAGAAAAGAAGGCGAAGACCACUUUGGAUUCUUCCUUCUGAAAGAUCCCAGUCUGAGAGACACCCUUAUUCAAGUCUCAGGAAAUCGCGGACCCCAGACACAGAGAGACCAUUUUGGAUGUAAUAAGCAAAGGCGAGGUUUAUUACGAAGAUCUAUUAUGGGGAUCUCCGGGCCGACACAUACCCCACGCAGGAGACAGAGGUGUUGACCCCGAAACUUAAAAGUCAGGGGUUUAUAUAGGGAAAGCUAGGGGGUUU
This 426-nucleotide long non-coding RNA is filed under the name Rattus norvegicus (Norway rat). RNAcentral's name for it is "long non-coding RNA NONRATT033800". Lineage: Eukaryota; Metazoa; Chordata; Mammalia; Rodentia; Muridae. The record is from RNAcentral.